CACCCAGUCUGUGGCCUUUUGUUACAGUAGCCCUAGGACACCAAUGCUAGAUAUUCUAUCCUAUAAAUAAAACCAGAAAAAAAAAAAAAAAAAGAGAAAAGAAAUGAGUUUAUUGUGGCUUUUUCCCACUCCAGAUCUACUAGAGUCUGAACUGUCAGUGGGAGAAAUUGGAGCGGGGCGUGGCACGGGUCCGGGCGGGCUCCCUGUGCGCUGUAGCCUGGGGCACUGCUAGACCCAGGUGCUGCUGGGAGAGGAAUGAGCGUUGUAAAUGGUGAGCGGUGGUUACAGAAGCCUCUGUCCUUCCAUGCCGAGAGAAGUCCCACUGAAAAAUGACUGCAGUGUGCCACAGGCCAAGUUACCCAUCUCAGCCAGUAGAACAGGAAUAGGAGACGCCUGGGCAACUGAAUUUAUCAGUGGCAUUCAGAGACCGCUGGCGGAUCUGGGGAGCUCUGAUUUCUUCCCUGGGGAAGGUGGCCUGGCUGAGCAGGUAAACGGUGACCCACCACUGCCUCCACGCCUUUGCCCAGGCUGUUCCCUUCCCCUGGAAAACUUCCUCUGCCAACCCUCUACCCAGCCCUUCUCAGUCACCUUCCACCUCCCAAAUGACCCAACUUGAGUCUUAUCUGCUCCAGGACAGUGUCCCUGACCAAUGCCAGCUCACAGUUCCACUUUCCUAGUCUGAAACCCUACGCACCUUGUGAAGUUAUUCUUUGUUGUGAGGAGUAAUGGAGAUGAGCUACAAUAAAUCUCCCGUCAUCAAGCCUAAAAUGUGACAGGUACUCAAAAGUCAGAAGUAUCAUGAGUAUGUUGAAAAUCAGAUGAACAGAAAGCAAAAUGAAAGUUAAAAUGUAGAGAGAUUUUUUUGUGUGUGUGGAAAGUUUUCAUUUUGAAACAUUAGGAUUCUUCUGGGACAUCAUAAUAAUAGCAAAGGCCUAUGUGCCAGGUGUGGUCCUAAGCACUCACUAGGUGCCAUCUCCUUUGUUCCCUGCAAUGGCCCAGGAGGCGAGUCCUGCUCUGUUCCUGUGUGGCAAGGACAGAAAGCAGGGGGCGUGGUCACGGAAUUUAAACCCAAACGCCUAACCCCUCCCGCAGCCUCUGGCUCUCCUCUGACCCUAAGCACAGACCCUGCAGGAUCGGAAGGUCACCUAAAUUUCCUUUCACUGAGGCCCAAGGACCUAGUCACUUUAGGUUGGCUGUUCUGUCUGGUGUGGCCAGCAGAGUUAAACAUGGAAAUGGGAUUUUUUUUCCUCUUACAUGUGUUCGUUUUAGCAGUUGAAAUUCAUGAUUAAAGUGUCCUAUAAGCAGUUUGAUUUUAACUUUGUCUCCUUGGCCGUGUGAAUCUUCACUCUUUUCCUUCCACAGGAAACUAGAUUUAUUUUCUUUGUUGUGGAAAUUAGACGUAGAUGAAAUGUUGUUUUCUUUAUAAAAAUAAAGUGGCACUCAGACUUGAAAAGUGAGUGAGACUCUGUUCUUUCAGGAGGCGGAGGGGAUUUCCCCAGCUGAACUGGAGCAGGUCUGGGUUGAUCCAGAGACAGAGCAUCAGGGUCUCCUGCAAUGCCCAGUUCAGGAGCAGCCACACUAAGCAACAGCUUCUCAUGUGAGAGGCAGAGCUCCAGCACUCUGCUGUGACGGUGAGUUGCCCCAGCCGCCCCAGAGAGGCGUGUCAGGUCCUGGAGCGGCCCAGCUCCCUGCGGGGGUCACUCAGUGGUCGCUCAUGACCCCCCUCCAGGUUUGUCUCAAUGAGCCUCCAAGGGAGGUGAGGCACUGGGAC
Molecule: long non-coding RNA, 1771 nt
Organism: Macaca fascicularis (crab-eating macaque)
Lineage: Eukaryota; Metazoa; Chordata; Mammalia; Primates; Cercopithecidae
Source: Ensembl